This 397-nucleotide ribosomal RNA is filed under the name uncultured bacterium. Its description in RNAcentral is "partial 16S ribosomal RNA". It matches the Rfam family "Bacterial small subunit ribosomal RNA", at positions 523 to 918 of the family's 1533-position model. The record is from RNAcentral.
AUACGUAGGGGGCGAGCGUUGUCCGGAAUGAUUGGGCGUAAAGGGCGUGUAGGCGGCGCGGUAAGUCUGGAGUGAAAGUCCUGCUUUCAAGGUGGGAAUUGCUUUGGAUACUGCCGCGCUUGAGUGCAGGAGAGGUUAUCGGAAUUCCCGGUGUAGCGGUGAAAUGCGUAGAGAUCGGGAGGAACACCAGUGGCGAAGGCGGGUAACUGGACUGCAACUGACGCUGAGGCGCGAAAGUGUGGGGAGCAAACAGGAUUAGAUACCCUGGUAGUCCACACUGUAAACGAUGAAUGCUAGGUGUAAGAGGUAUCGACCCCUUUUGUGCCGGAGUCAACACAAUAAGCAUUCCGCCUGGGGAGUACGGCCGCAAGGUUGAAACUCAAAGGAAUUGACGGGG